Molecule: long non-coding RNA, 3053 nt
Organism: Triticum urartu
Lineage: Eukaryota; Viridiplantae; Streptophyta; Magnoliopsida; Poales; Poaceae
Source: RefSeq, a predicted model, not a curated record
AUGAGAGGUGCGCAAUACACAGAAACAUAUCUGUUUUCUUGAAGGACCAGGGGAGGGCCAAGGGGCCAGCGGUGUGGGGUGGAGCAGCGAGGCCGGCGACCCAGGCGGCGGACGCCUCACGGGGUGGAGGAGAGACUGGCGACAAGGAAGGAGCAGAAUCCUCAUGGAGCGGCAGGGAAGGUGAAGUCCCGACGGCUGAAGAUGGUGCGCACGGAGGAGCUCGGAUGAUGUCAAGGACGUUUAGCAGGACUGACUUAAGAUCGAACCCCUGACAGAGUUUAAGCAUGGUCCCGUAUGCACUUCUUGACUUCUCUUGAUUCCCGUUUUUGUUUCAGUUCAUAUCAAAUCAAUAUUGUUUGCAACUUUGCAUACAGGUUGGAGAGGUUAUUUUUGGCGUGGAGGUCUUUUUCAGUUUUUCUAAAGUUACUAUUUUUUUUCCAGUUCCCUAAGCUCUUUCGUCAUGUUAAGUAAAGUCUUACCUACCACAAAAUUGUAUCAUUCAUCCCACACAAUGGUUGGAAUCCUAGUCGUUCAAUUACAGUAGACCAACCAUGUUUCACGUUUUGUAUAGUCCAACCAAUAAUACAGAUUCAGCCUGGUGAUGAUUUUCAAUAUAUUGUGAUAGUAGUUUCCUGCAUUGAUUAGUUAUUGAGCCAUCCUUCCGUUGUACUCGAAGUGUUGUAAUAGUUAAAUAGAUGUAUUUGUGCCAUUUAGCUCAUUGUAAUGUAGGAGCUGAUCAGGGUGGAAGAGUAAUCUGUGUUGUGUAGACAACAUCACUGUAAUUUUCUCAGGCGAAUAAAAGAAUAGCUUGCGGUUCAUGGAAAAGCCCCAAUAAAAUUCAGUUCAGUUCAGCUGUACAUCUUUUGCUGACCCCUUUUCUUGGUGCUGAUUGAGCUUUGUGUGUCAAUAUUUUUAUUUGACUGCAUUUUUUGCUUUAGUCCUUCCUCUUAGUGUAUAAUGAUCCUGAUUGUGUGAGUUUCUUUCCUGGCAGGGUAGUUAUGCCUCAAUCCAUUCCAUAACAAAAUGCAUAUAUGUCCUGAAGGUAGGAUUUCACCUUCAGAUUGUCAUCAAGUUCGUCAAAUUUAUCGUUCCAUGCUGGAACAGUGUACUUUCACGAGUAUUUUUCUACUGAGUACAUAUAAUACUUUCACACCUAUGUUGUAUUAUAUUCCAACUUUCCAAGUACCUUGUGCUUUUGUUCUUGGAUUCUUUCUAAAUGCUCCACAAGUCCUGCACUAAUUUUCUCAACAAAAUAAUUAAGUGAAACAUGGCUCUGAGCUAUUGUCAUAUGGUACCUGUAUGGGCUCUAGUUGAGUUUGGCGGUCAUAUUUUCUUUAACUGUUGGUAAAAGUCUUAAGUUGUGCUACUUUAGAACUUUCUGAAAUACAAACAGUAGCCAUAGUUCCAUAUGCAUUUCUUUGAUUGUAAUUUCUUGUUGGUACCUUACCAAGCAAACUGGUCCGUUUCUAUCUUACCUGUUGUCAUCAAACUGGUGCCACAAAUCCAAUGGAUUUUGUUUCUGUUAAAUCAUAUUACGUCCAGAAAUGUGAGCUUAUAUCCGCUGCAUCUUUAGGGAAGCCAUUUUUUACGCUGCAAAUAAUGUGUGUGCUUAUCCCAUUAACUUGAGUGUGUUAUUACAAGUUGCAGGAGCAUGAAUGGUCCACAUCUCAGCUGGCUGUUGUUUCUGUAAGAAAUUACUUUCUUCAUUACGCAUUGCUCGUGAUUAUUCUGUCUUGAAUAAACAUAUGGUGUGGCACUUUUCGUAUAAUGAUUUUAUAUCUUUCUGGUCCCAAAUCAUGCCGUUGAUUUACUUUCGUUUUAUUUUAUUACUUUUGAUCAUUUUGGCUCUGAAAAGCAAUAGUACAGUAUAUCCAUGGAGUAUAAUAGAGUUGUUUGUUUGUUUGUUCUAUCAAGCCAGUUUUAUUCUAUUUGCAUGAGCAUAUACCAAACUUUUUUCAUGCUCGCUCAUGAACAAGAUGAGGGCACUGGUUAUGUAUUUCCAAACAAGGUUUUGAUUGAGAUAGGUAUUACUGAUUUCUUUGGAUUGCUAUGCUCCAAAACUUGAUGUAUUGUCUAGGCUAACUCUCUUUUUUUAAUUCAAAAACAAAGAAGAUUCCUACAACUACUGCAGAUUUGCAAAGAAUCAUGAAAUCAGAAUAUCCAUGUAUCAAAAGCAAAAAAGAUGCCUACAACUACUAUACAGGAAUGAUGUUCUAUAUUGCUGCCACACGGGAAUAUAUAUCGUAGUGCUCUCAAUAUAAAUUAAAAUGUUACUAGGGUUCUUGGUUAAUGCAUUGUUUUUUUCCUUUCCCAUCCAGAAUGAUAUUUGAUUGAAGAUAUGGAAUUAGUAUGAGAUCACUUUAGGGGGUUUAAACACUUGGAUAAGAUUAAACACAUGUUGUACCGAAUGAUAAUGGUACACCAUUUGGCGAUGGGUUCUCUAAAAAACUUAAAAUUCCACUAGAUAUUAUUUAGAUAUAAUGGAAAAGGGAUCAGAAAUGCGGUUUGUAUGACUGAAAACAUCCUUAACAUAUGGUUGUUCAUUAUACUCUGUGGUAGUGAGAUCGGUUAGUAAUGUUACACAUAAUAUAUAUUUUCCAGUUGUGUCCCUCACUCUCUUAAGCACGUUUCUGUUGUAUACUGGUUAGUUGUCACAAUGCAUGUAUUUGAGGAUGUCGUCGGGUCUCCAUUGUUGUACAUUUGUCUUGCCACUUUGUUGUUCAAAUUAUUUUUUAGGAAACUAUUUCAACUCUUCUGAAGGCCAUUUGUUCUUAAUGUUUUUCUUUAUAAGUAUCUCCAUAAUGGCACUUUCCACCUGGAAAAAGCAUCAAGGUCAGCGAUCCAGUUUUUGUUCUAUAGGCAUCUCUUCUUUGAAUGAGGCAUGGUAGCAGAUGAUGUAUCUGUUUUAUGUGUGUUAGAAGAGGCAUCCGGUUGCUUGACUUUGUACGCACAUUCUGAUUCUUUAAUCUUAGUUGUACAACCUAUAUCUAUCCAAUUUAUUCUUUGUAUACCAACUCAAAGCUGUGAAUUGAUGACCACACCUGCUAAGACAA